GACGAACGCUGGCGGCGUGCUUAACACAUGCAAGUCGAACGGAAAGGCCCUGCUUUCGUGGGGUUCUCGAGUGGCGAACGGGUGAGUAACACGUGAGUAACCUGCCCUUGUCUUUGGGAUAACUUCAGGAAACUGGGGCUACUAUCAGAUAGGAGAUCCUGCUGCAUGGUGGGGGUUGGAAAGUCUCGGCGGUCGGGGAUGGACUCGCGGCUUAUCAGCUUGUUGGUGGGGUAGUGGCUUACCGAGGCUUUGACGGGUCGCCGGCCUGGGAGGGGGGACGGCGACCUGGGUCCUGCGAGAGGGCGCAGUCGCCAAUGGGAGGCAGUGGGCGCAAGUCUUGCACAGUGGGCCGACGCCUGUGGCGGAGGCGCUGGGUUUGUGAUGACGGCCUGCGGGGUGUAAACAGCUUUCGCCUGUGACGAAGCGUGAGUGACGGUAAUGGGUAAAGAAGCACCGGCUAACUACGUG
Molecule: ribosomal RNA, 468 nt
Filed under: uncultured bacterium
Lineage: Bacteria
Description: partial 16S ribosomal RNA
Rfam family: Bacterial small subunit ribosomal RNA
Source: RNAcentral